This 490-nucleotide ribosomal RNA is filed under the name uncultured bacterium. Its description in RNAcentral is "partial 16S ribosomal RNA". It matches the Rfam family "Bacterial small subunit ribosomal RNA", at positions 28 to 507 of the family's 1533-position model. The record is from RNAcentral.
GAUGAACGCUCGCUACAGGCUUAACACAUGCAAGUCGCAGGGUAACAUGAGGAAAGCUUGCUUUCCUUGAUGACGACUGGCGCACGGGUGAGUAACGCGUAUCCAACCUUCCCAUAACUACGGGAUAACCCGUUGAAAGACGGCCUAAUACCGUAUGAUAUCGUUUGCUGACAUCAAAUAACGAUUAAAGGUUUAGCGGUUAUGGAUGGGGAUGCGUCUGAUUAGCUUGUUGGCGGGGUAACGGCCCACCAAGGCGACGAUCAGUAGGGGUUCUGAGAGGAAGGUCCCCCACAUUGGAACUGAGACACGGUCCAAACUCCUACGGGAGGCAGCAGUGAGGAAUAUUGGUCAAUGGGCGAGAGCCUGAACCAGCCAAGUAGCGUGCAGGACGACGGCCCUAUGGGUGGUAAACUGCUUUUAUGUGGGGAUAAAGUGCGUGACGUGUCAUGCAUUGCAGGUACCACAUGAAUAAGGACCGGCUAAUUCCGUG